CUCACAUCUGCAAUAGUUUACUGUGGUGAUUAGUGAGACUCCUCAGGCCUUAUGAGAUCAAAUCCAGAUGUUGCUGUUUGUUCACAGCUUUGAGAGCUUGAUAGCAACAGAAUUCUGUUGGCUCUACGUGCAGACGUGCGCUCAGCUGCGUCACACAUGCGCCGCUGCAACCUGCUUUUUGGAACAGCUGACGCGCGCCGCACAGCUCUCUGGCCCUUUGAAUACUUUGGGAGAAGCAGAAGUGGGACUCUAGGGGAGGCAGUGUCGGCGCGUCAGUCCGUGGCUCCACCGCUUCAGUGCAGGCAUAAAUAUCUCAACCCGCUACUGGAAGGAUCGCCAUUACAUGUUUCAUUGGCAUUCAUGGUCGCCGGAGGAUACGUUCUAAGACACUAAGGACGUCCUUGUUUUUCCUCUGGUGCCACCAGAAGGUCAAAGUCUUGAGAAGAGAAGAGAAGAAAGAGCGACACUGAGGAAUCUUACUUUGGUGAUACGGACUGUAAGAGCCAUUAUGAUACAUUUCGAGAAAUCCAAGUACUGUACAACUCGGAGGGACUCCACUACAGUUCAG
This is a long non-coding RNA of Gasterosteus aculeatus aculeatus (three-spined stickleback), 568 nucleotides long. NCBI's taxonomy places the organism in Eukaryota, Metazoa, Chordata, Actinopteri, Perciformes, Gasterosteidae. The record is from Ensembl.